GACGAACGCUGGCGGCGUGCUGAACACAUGCAAGUCGAACGGAAAGGCCCUGCUUUUGUGGGGUGCUCGAGUGGCGAACGGGUGGGUAACAGGUUGGUAACCUUCCGUUGACUUUGGGAUAAAUUCAGGGAACUGGGGCUAAUACCGGAUAGGAGGUCCGGCUGCAUGUUGGGGGUUGGAAAGUUUCGGCGGUUGGGGAUGGACUCGCGGCUUAUCAGCUUGUGGGUGGGGUAGUGGCUUACCAAGGCUUUGACGGGUAGCCGGCCUGCGACGGUGACCGGCCACAUUGGGACUGACAUACGGCCCAGACUCCUCCGGGAGCCAGAAGUGGCGCAUAUUGCACCAUGGGAGGAAGCCUGAUGCCGCAACUCCGCGUGCGUGCUGACGGCCUUCGCGUUGUAAACCGCUCUCGCCCGUGACCCACCGUGAGUGACGGUACUGGGUAAAGAAGCACCGGCUCACUAAGUG
This 468-nucleotide ribosomal RNA is filed under the name uncultured bacterium. RNAcentral describes it as "partial 16S ribosomal RNA". It matches the Rfam family "Bacterial small subunit ribosomal RNA", at positions 28 to 507 of the family's 1533-position model. The record is from RNAcentral.